This 4192-nucleotide unclassified non-coding RNA is filed under the name Orussus abietinus. Its description in RNAcentral is "tBC1 domain family member 23, transcript variant X1". Lineage: Eukaryota; Metazoa; Arthropoda; Insecta; Hymenoptera; Orussidae. The record is from RNAcentral.
GGAUUUCCUUGAAUAAUGCCGAGCCACCGUGAAACAACCUUAUACAAUUUUCGAAGGAUCUGAUUUGCGCCCUAAAGACACAACAGUAACGUUGACAAAAAUGGCACUGGAGGAGGAAGAAAACACUUGGGUAUUAGAAUUAGAAGCAGCUUUGCUGGAUGCGGAAGCACCUUCUGCUUCGGACAUCUAUGCUAUUUCUAAAGGUCAGCCAGUACCUUCGCGUCUAAGACCGGAUGUUUGGCAACUGUGCUUGGAUGUCACCGAUAGAGGUGAUCAGCUGAUUCACUUUAAUGAGGUUUUUGACUUGCCCGAGCAGAAUGUCUUACGUGAGGAUUGCCAGCAACUAGUCGCCAAACUUGGGAACGAUGACGAGGAUAAGGUAUCCGUUGUGUCGGACUUGGAGUCGAUAUUGACAUUUUAUUGCAAAAAUAGGAAUAAACAAUACCAAAGGGGAAAUGGUUGGCUCGAGUUAUUGGGUCCCUUAAUAGCUCUAAAAUUACCCCGUACUGCUACCUAUAAUCUUUUUGAAGCGAUCAGAGACGUCUACGUGCCAAGGGGAGAUACGCAUAGUUCUGUCCUGCGACUGCUACUUCUUUACCAUGAUCCGGAAUUGUGUUCUUUCCUUGACACCAAAAGAGUCUCACCCGACCAAUAUACAAAAGGAUGGGUGAACACGUUGUUUGCCGAGGUAUGUUCUUUACCAGCAGUGAGCACUAUGUGGGACCUGUAUUUCAUGCAAGCCGAUCCUUUCUUCAUGAUGUUUCUCUCUCUCAUCAUAGUAAUUAAUGCAAGAGAUCAGAUAUUAAAAAUGAAAGACAUCGACAAACAAAAUAUCAUAGAUAUUCUCACAGCAUUGCCCUGUGAUCUGAAAGCUGAGGAUGUGACGGAUUUCUGUUCUCUGGCACAGUAUUACGCAAUGAAAACCCCAUCGUCCUUUAAGCAAGACUUGUACUCUAUUAUGUUUGGCGAAGGAGGGGAUGAGAAGUUUAUCUCUCAUGCAUUGUGUUUGCCAGUUUCUGCACACGAGUUAAUAGAGAAUGCUGUUGAAGUUCCGUCCAACCCUAAUGGGCCUGUAGAACCUGUCAGAUUCUUUUUGGUGGAUUGCCGACCUGCUGAACAGUACAAUGCUGGACAUUUGCCAACAGCUUUUCAUCUUGACUGUAAUUUGAUGCUUCAGGAGCCUGCAGCCUUUGCCACGGCAGUGCAGGGAUUGCUGCAGGCACAGCGUCAAGCCCUUGCUGUUGGCUCCCAAGCAGGUGGGGAGCAUCUCUGUUUUCUGGGAAGUGGUCGUCAGGAAGAGGACCAAUAUACACAUAUGGUCGUCGCUUCGUUUCUACAAAAGCAUACGCAGUACGUCAGUAUGGUAGCUUCCGGAUAUCAAGCGAUCCAUGAAUACUUCGGCGACGAAGUUGUAACGAACCUCGUGGACCACAAUUCCCAGCACUGUUUGGUAUGCAAUACCAACAUAUCGGAAACUAAUUCUAACGAAGCCAGCCCAGCGCGAUUCAAAAAUAACAAUUCAGAUAUUUUUGGAAAAAUCGGUCAGGCUAUGAAACUUAAAAGCCUGGAAGUCAAGGGAAAGCUCUUUGAUUACAUCGUCAACCCGUCGGCGAGUGCCAAUAGUAAUACAGAGAGAAAAAACGGCAAAGAAUCCGAUUACAAUAAGAAGAUACGAAACGAUCCUGUGUUUAGCAUAGACGACGACCAGGAUCUUGACACAACAAUGAGUAAUCACGAAAACGAGCAGCCAAUGGAGGUGGUUUCGAUGCAACAGUGGUUAAAGGAUCCAAGAUUACUUCAUUCCUUUAAGUGUCAAGAGGUUAAAGUAAAUGGUCAUGUUUAUGAGAGCCAACUGCUUAUCACUGACAGCCACCUCAUCGUUCUUCGAGAGACUCAGGGAUGCAGAGGAGCUGCGCAUGUGAUCGUUGAGAGGCCCUUAUCUAGUAUUGUCAAAAUUACGUCGAGGAAACGUCACCCGGAUUUGAUUACGUUUAAAUAUGGCACAACGCAUAACAACGAUACACUUCACAUUUCCGAUAUGGAUAGGUUUCUCAUUCCCAAUUCAUCCGAGGCCACGAAGUUCAUUUCAGAGCAGAUCCUUAAACAAUUGAAAACUAUCAAUUAGGAACAGAAAGAACUUUUAGAAGAUAGUUAAUUUAAAAAGAUGAGUUGGUAAUGCAUAGUCUCUGGACGCAUAGAAAUGUCAUUCAUUUCAUCAAAAGGCUCGGGUGUCGUCAGGACAUUGCACCUAUCAAAAGUUUCUAAAAUGAAGGAUACACUUAACUAUUGAAAAACGAGGAACAUAUUGGAUGCAGUGUUUCAAGUUUUUGCCAUCGAACGACAAAUUGAAAACAGUGAUUCCAAAGUAUGUAAGAAUUAUUAAUAGCGUAUUAUUUAUCUGGAUUUCAAUUUGACAAUGUAUACGAAGGUCCUGAAAAGAUCAUGCCAACAAUUGGGACGAUGCAAAUUGUAAUUUCCAAAAUAGUUUCUUACUUAAAGUUACUUUAUGUAAUUGCUUGUAGUGCUCUGCAUUUCAAAGUGAUGUUUAAUGUGAUGCUAGUUACAUAAUCUUUAAUUGAAACCAUCUGUUUAUUUUGUGUGACCGGAGUAACUUCAUAUUUUGAAUCACUUCGUUGAUUCUUUUGUAAAUAAAAAUCUCUGGUUGGUACCGCAACGGGAAAAUGGGUCUACAUGCACCCACGCCCUGCAAACUAGUACUCCGUGUGGCCCUUCCGAAAAAGUCCUAAUCUUAAAUUGAGACGGUGAAAAUUUGGAUUGGUGAAAGGAGCGACCCGCUUAAAUUUAUUUAAGGGCGCCAUGCAUGUUUCAACAUACUGUGCGCCCUUCAGAAAUUCCAGCUAAGGAAGUCCAAGCUCGCCCGUGGAAAAUCGCGGAAUAUCGCGGAAUAUCGCGGAAAAGCUGUGAUUGCCAGCCACUCAGCCCCGCAAGAAUCCAUAAAGGACUACAUGCGGCACGGUAGAGUCGAGAGUUCACGCGAGAAACACGGAGUCAUUGACAAGAAGUUCGGAUUAGGAUGCGGGAAUACAUUAAAAGAUCAAUUUUCGAUAAUAACCAAUUAACGGAAGCUGUUUAUUCGACAGGAUACUUCUGAAUCCCACCGGCGCGAUGUGGAAUGGUUCACUAAUAACGACAGUAAAUAUAGAGCCGCAUGCUCCCGAUAAUUUUCCUCCGGCACUUCGGAAAGAAAAUACUGGGCACAAUGCCCGUCUUAAUGCCGUCUGGACCCUGAAAACGAUACGUGGAUUUGAUCUGGCCUUGCGGGUCACAAAUGACGGACGACAUAUACUAUAUUAACACGCGAGAGCUACGAAUAACGCGGCAAACUAUAAUCUAAAUUAACACGGCGAAACCUGGGGUCCUCUCGACAAUGAGGAACGCGGAAAAUCCUCCUGGAUCCUCACCGGGCCCAUCGCUGUUUCCCUUUGCCGGUGUCGUCGAUAAUUUAGCACACCAUCUAAUUCCUUCGUGAGACAAUUACGCUGAAAUUCAGCCGAUACAUGGGACCACCUAUAUAAAAAUCAUCCUCGACACGUGAACUUAUUGAUAACAAGGCCUAAGGAACAAACUUCAGGUGAAGUGAAUGAUGUCGGUAAAAAGGAUUCGUCUAAAUACCUACGUUUCCGACGUUCGUAUUUGUAUCGACAACUUUUUCGAAUUAUACUUGGUAUUAUACCAAAUGGCAUACUCCAUAUGUUGUUUCCGUACAAUAAUUAUAAAGCAAUUGUAGCAAAACUCUAGAAAUCCCCUGGAUUCGUGAUUUUUAAUGUUCCAAUUGACUGGAAAGUGCCACUCUGCGCCAUCUGUGAUUUUAGCGUCAACUAAAUUUCCUCUCCGAGAUCUCACGUUACCUUCGGUUUAGCAUAGAAGAUACUUUUUUCGCCUUUAUCCUGUUCAAAUGCGAAUUUCUCGAUUACUACAGUGUUCUAGAUUGUUACACAAUUGUCCUGACACUUUCGAUUCUCACAGCAGAGUUUUUAAUAAUUGUAUAUUGAUCGAAGUACGAGACUUCGGCGCCAUAUUUGUUCUGAUUUAGGCUAAGUUAAAGAAAAUUGUGUCGAAAAUCUAAAUUUUGAAAGUAUCAAAACAACUCUUAGGUUCUCACGAGUCAUAUGUCGAUGUUUUAGUCAGUUCGGUUCAAUAUUCCUAAAAUAAAGUGUCUUAUUCGAAUCGA